GGGGAGGGGAGAUGAGCAGGGGGUGCGGGAGGUGGCAGAGGGUGUUAAUUGGUGGCAGCAGCUGAGGAUUAACUUCAAGGUGAUAACGACCCAGGGAGGGGCCCAGCGUAGCAGAGGAGGCCGAGAAUUCCCAGGAAGGGCCUGGGGGGCAGGCAGCACUAAUCAGGUAUUACGGACUUAAUUCAGUAAUACCUAACACUAACCGGAAUACUUAACACUGACGAAGCACUCGCUCCUCACUGGGCAGCAGAGGUGUGGCUCCGAGCCCUCACGGCAGGUCGGGGCAGAGCAGGAAUUUGAACCCAGGGUGGCUCCUGCCCAGGGCGCGCGCUGUUCACUGCAGGUGUCCUGCUGCCAUAAGUGGGUGAGGGGGCUUUGGGAGGGGGCCAGGGAGUGUGGGAGUGUGUGUGACCACGUGAGUGUGUGAGUGUGAGAGACUAGGUGAGAGUGAGUGUGUGAGUGUGAGAGAGUAAGAGUGAGCCUGUGUGAGGGUGAGUGUGUGUGAGAUUGAGUGUGAGACUGUGAGUGCAUGAGCAUGAGUGUGAGAAUGUGACAGUGUGAGUGUCGACGUGAGAGUGUGAGAAUAUGAGUGUGAGUGUGAAUAUAAGAGUGUAUGAGAAUGAGUGUGCAUGUGUGUGAGUGUGAGUUGUGUGCAUGAGAGUAGGGUAUGAGUAUGAAUAUGAGGGAGUGAGUGUAUGAAUCUGUGAGAGUUUGACUGUGUGGGUGUGUGUGAGUGAAUGUGAGGGAGUGCGUGAGUGUGAGUGUGUGCGAGUUUGAGUGUGGGAGUGUGCAUGAGAGUUGAAUGUAAGGGAGUAUGAGUGUGAAUGAGUGUGUGAAUGUGAGUGUGAGAGUGAAUUGAGUGUGUGUGUGUGAUUGUGAAGGUGUGCAUUGGGAGUGUGAAUAUAAGGGAGUGUAAGUUUGAAGAAGUGUGUGCAAGUGUGUGUGGGAGACUGUGAGCGGAGGUGGGAGAGUUGUGCGAGCAUGUUUGUGUGUGGGUGAGGUGAUCGCCCCUAAUGAAGACAGAAAAGGGAGGCAGCAAAGCCCUUUGGACCCAGCCAAUGGCUGUCAUCAGACUACAGACAUACCACAUGUUGGGACGAUGUGGAGACCUGGGAAGCUGCAGCCGCUGGCGGAAGGUAAAGCGGGGCAGCCACUGUGGAAGACAGUCUGGUAGCUCCUCAGAAUGACAGACAGAGUUUCCAUGUGGCCCAGCAAUUCCACUCCUAGGUAUAUACCCAGGAGAAAUAAAAACAUGCAUACACACAAAUAUUCAUGGCACAAUUGCCAAAAAGCAGGAACCACCCAGCUGUCUAUCUGCUGACAAAUGGAUAAAGGAAAUGUGCUCCAUCCAUUCAAUGGAAUAUUACUCAGCCAUGAAAAGGAAGCACACACUGACACACACUGCAUCUUGGAUGAACCUCAAAAGCAUCAUGCAAAGGGAAAGAAGCCAGACAUGGAAGAUGACCUAUUACAGGAUUCCAUUUAUAUGACAUGUCCAGAAUAGGCAAAUCCACAAAGGAAGGAAGAUUAGUGACUGCCAGGAGUGGG
Long non-coding RNA from Equus caballus (horse), 1548 nucleotides. NCBI's taxonomy places the organism in Eukaryota, Metazoa, Chordata, Mammalia, Perissodactyla, Equidae. The record is from Ensembl.